UAACAGUGAAAGCUUUUCGUACACGUUU
This 28-nucleotide non-coding RNA is filed under the name Bombyx mori (domestic silkworm). The record is from RNAcentral. Lineage: Eukaryota; Metazoa; Arthropoda; Insecta; Lepidoptera; Bombycidae.